UACGGAGGAUCCAAGCGUUAUCCGGAUUUAUUGGGUUUAAAGGGUGCGUAGGCGGUUUUGUAAGUUAGAGGUGAAAUUUCCGGGCUCAACCCGGAGACUGCCUCUGAUACUGCGAGACUAGAGAGUAGUUGCUGUUGGCGGAAUGUGUGGUGUAGCGGUGAAAUGCUUAGAUAUCACACAGAACACCGAUUGCGAAGGCAGCUGACAAAGCUAUAUCUGACGCUGAGGCACGAAAGCGUGGGGAGCAAACAGG
RNAcentral lists this ribosomal RNA (253 nucleotides) under uncultured bacterium. RNAcentral's name for it is "partial 16S ribosomal RNA". It matches the Rfam family "Bacterial small subunit ribosomal RNA", at positions 524 to 776 of the family's 1533-position model. The record is from RNAcentral.